CAGGGGUGAAGCAAUGCAUUUGGCUGGUCUGUCUCUACUGGAUCGAGAGCUCUCCAACGGGAAAGACACAAAAGGCAGAGGAGGGGUUGGUCGCUGGCGCGUCUAGCCUACACUACCUGGUCCCCCAGCUCUCUUGCUGUCAAAUUCAUACCCAGGCACCUCCAGAUGCUCUGGGAGAUGGUGAGCAAUAUCACAGGUGAUCUCUAGGGCCUUAUGUUCCAUUUGAAAUGCGAUACAUAAACAUGGGGCGCCUGGGAGCUCUGCCGGUUAAGCGUCCCCCUUCUGCUCAGGUCAUGAUCUCAUGGGUUCGAGCCUCAUGUCAGGCUCUGUGCUGAUGGCUCGGAGCCUGCAGCCUGCUUUGGAUUCUGUGUCUUCCUCUCUCUCCGCCCCUCCCCUGCUCAUGCUCUGUCUCUCUCUCUCAAAAAUGAAUAAACAUUAAAAAAAAAAAAUGUGUAGGAGUGAGAUUCCACUCCAAAAAAUAUAAGAAUAUUUUUUGACUAUCUGCACUGUGAACUGGGGCUUGGUGUAGAAGUCCCUCGAAUCCAGAAGACCAGGACACUGGUGGCCUGGGUGUCACUGGGUGACAGGAAGAAUUAGAAGUCCUGGGUCCAGUUUUGCCUUCAUUUUUCUUGUUGUUUCUCCUCGGUUUAUUCAGCCAGUCCUGGGUUUGAGCUCAACUCUGCCCCUUACCUGUAGGAAUUAGAGCCCAGGGCAACGGGGCCUUUGCCCUGAGGUUCCUGGGGUGACCCACAUUGUAAGCCUUGACCCGUCCUCUGGGGUGGAGAGCUUCUGGACAUUUCAUUUGUGCAAUGACCCCCUUUGUUCUGACCCAACAGAAGUCCCUGCCCUGCUCCGCCGAGGAAGCCUUCCUGGGCCUGUCACUGUUUACAGACUCUCAGAAAGGCAGGUGUUGGGAGGAAGCUGCCGCUUGCGGUCGGUUCUCCCCAGAUACAGGAGGGCCCGGCCCCCCCCCCAGGCCGGCUGCCAUUGGCUAACAGGAGGCCAAAACAGACUCCUCUCCCGCCUGCAGCCACCCAGCCAGCAAACAAAGAGCGCACAGGAAACACCUGGAGGAGAGGGCAGCUGGCAAGGGGACCUCCGCAGGAAAGAAGAAAGGGUUUGCAGGAGGAAUUAGGCUGCUCUGCAAAGAAGUGGUGCAGAGAAAAAGCCCGAACUCUCCAGAACUCACCAGGCUUGCCCUUCCCAGCUUCCCCGUUUCUCUCUCUUCCUGGAAGGGAGAACGUGAUUCCGCAUGAUUCCACAGGUGGGCAGGAAGGAGCCACCUGCUAUAGGUCUUCUGAGUGUAACUGAAGAGAAAUACCACGAGACACCGAGAAAAGGAUGUGCAUCUGAAGAAAACGCUUAGUGAGUUGAGGAUGUUGGCUUCUCUACACCACACGGCUUCAUCUGCUACAUUUUUAUUAAAGUAACCAAAAAAAAAAAAAAGAAAAAAGCGCGUACAUUUGUCCAUAAAGCUGUACAUCCUUCCAUAUAAAAACACUAUUAUACAAUUAGUAACCUUUGUCUUUUCUGUCAGAACAGCUUACCAACGUGCUACUAUUAUUUCUUUUUACUUAAUAGGAGAGACAGGCCUGCUCAACAGUCCAGCUCUGGGUGUUUUGCUGUUUUUUAAAGUGAACAUUAAAAAAAAAUAAGAAGAAGAAAGAGAGAGAGAGAGAGAAGAGAGGAAAGAUUAAGCAGGAGACCAUGAGGCUGCUUCUUUUUAAAAAAGGCAGGGAUCUGUUUGCAGACAGGAUGCAACAAUGCCACGUCCAGUGAUUCACAGCUUUGUCUCAACCCACAGGCCAGAAAAUGAGUUCUUGGGUCUGUGGGUCUGAAGUUAGCUUUAAAGCAAUAAAGGCUGGAAGCAGGGUCUGGGAAGGCA
This 1885-nucleotide long non-coding RNA is filed under the name Felis catus (domestic cat). RNAcentral's name for it is "lncRNA (ENSFCAG00000052742.1)". Lineage: Eukaryota; Metazoa; Chordata; Mammalia; Carnivora; Felidae. The record is from RNAcentral.